UUAAGAGAAUAAAAAAAUUAAAUUUUGAAUGUCAAAUGUAAACAUCUGAUCGUUUGACUUGACACGUGACACGAUCCUAUGAGUUAGUAACUUAAUUAGCAUAUGUAAAUUUGUUUACUUUUUAAGAUUUUCUAUUUUUUUAAGAGAAUAAAAAAGUUAAAUUUUAAAUGACACAUGUAAACAUCUGAUCGUUUGACUUGACACGUGGCACGAUCCUAUGAGUUAAAAACUUUGAAAACCAUACUUUAUAUAAUAAGAUUCUAUUUUUU
RNAcentral lists this small RNA (269 nucleotides) under Arabidopsis thaliana (thale cress). RNAcentral's name for it is "ATSL144780". The record is from RNAcentral. Lineage: Eukaryota; Viridiplantae; Streptophyta; Magnoliopsida; Brassicales; Brassicaceae.